This 430-nucleotide ribosomal RNA is filed under the name uncultured archaeon. RNAcentral describes it as "bacterial SSU rRNA". It matches the Rfam family "Archaeal small subunit ribosomal RNA", at positions 474 to 903 of the family's 1478-position model. The record is from RNAcentral.
UACCAGCUCUCCGAGUGGUGUGGAUGUUUAUUGGGCCUAAAGCAUCCGUAGCUGGCUGGGCAAGUCCCCUGUUAAAUCCACCGAUUUAAUCGUUGGUGUGCGGGGGAUACUGUUCGGCUAGGGGACGGGAGAGGCCGACGGUAUUUUCGGGGUAGGGGUGAAAUCCUAUAAUCCCGGGAAGACCACCAGUGGCGAAGGCUGUCGGCUAGAACGCGCCCGACGGUGAGGGAUGAAAGCUGGGGGAGCGAACCGGAUUAGAUACCCGGGUAGUCCCAGCUGUAAACGAUGCAGGCUAGGUGUUUGGGCGGCCACGUGCCGCUCUAGUGCCGCAGAGAAGUCGUUAAGCCUGCCGCCUGGGGAGUACGGCCGCAAGGCUGAAACUUAAAGGAAUUGGGCGGGGAGCACCACGAAGGGGUGAGGCUUGCGGUUU